UACGAAGGGUGCAAGCGUUACUCGGAAUUACUGGGCGUAAAGCGUGCGCAGGCGGCUCCUUAAGUCAGAUGUGAAAUCCCCGGGCUUAACCUGGGAACUGCGUUUGAAACUGGGGAGCUAGAGUGUAGAAGAGGGGGGUGGAAUUCCAGGUGUAGCAGUGAAAUGCGUAGAGAUCUGGAGGAACACCGAUGGCGAAGGCAGCCCCCUGGGCUAACACUGACGCUCAUGCACGAAAGCGUGGGGAGCAAACAGG
This 253-nucleotide ribosomal RNA is filed under the name uncultured bacterium. RNAcentral describes it as "partial 16S ribosomal RNA". It matches the Rfam family "Bacterial small subunit ribosomal RNA", at positions 524 to 776 of the family's 1533-position model. The record is from RNAcentral.